This 560-nucleotide ribosomal RNA is filed under the name Caldimonas manganoxidans. Its description in RNAcentral is "bacterial SSU rRNA". It matches the Rfam family "Bacterial small subunit ribosomal RNA", at positions 33 to 590 of the family's 1533-position model. Lineage: Bacteria; Pseudomonadati; Pseudomonadota; Betaproteobacteria; Burkholderiales; Sphaerotilaceae. The record is from RNAcentral.
GUGCUUGCGGCAUGCUUUACCAUGCAGUCGAACGGCAGCGGGUCCUUCGGGAUGCCGGCGAGUGGCGAACGGGUGAGUAAUGCAUCGGAACGUACCCAGUCGUGGGGGAUAACUACUCGAAAGAGUAGCUAAUACCGCAUACGACCUGAGGGUGAAAGCGGGGGACCGCAAGGCCUCGCGCGAUUGGAGCGGCCGAUGUCGGAUUAGCUAGUUGGUGGGGUAAAGGCUUACCAAGGCGACGAUCCGUAGCUGGUCUGAGAGGACGGCCAGCCACACUGGGACUGAGACACGGCCCAGACUCCUACGGGAGGCAGCAGUGGGGAAUUUUGGACAAUGGGCGCAAGCCUGAUCCAGCCAUGCCGCGUGCGGGAAGAAGGCCUUCGGGUUGUAAACCGCUUUUGUCAGGGAAGAAAAGCUCUGGGCUAAUACCUCGGAGUGAUGACGGUACCUGAAGAAUAAGCACCGGCUAACUACGUGCCAGCAGCCGCGGUAAUACGUAGGGUGCGAGCGUUAAUCGGAAUUACUGGGCGUAAAGCGUGCGCAGGCGGUUGUGCAAGACA